UAGAUAAAACCAACAAUUUCAUUUAUAAUUGUAAUUUGUCUCCAAUAUGAGGUUUUGAUUGAUGAUAUUAUAAGCAAAAGCAUUCGUCGUGCUAUAGUGACCCUCACCGAAAGAUCUCAUGUGAUUAGCUUGGCUUUUGAUUUGAGCACGGUCAGCUCAUAAUCUUACGACCCGUUAAAGGUUUGCAAUCCGGCAAGCAAUGAUAAAUAAAACAUCAACAAAGUUUUUUUUAUCUAAAUUGACAGAUAACAUAACUCAAGAAACUGAUGAAAUAGAAAGUAGGAAGGAUCGGAAGAGGCAUAGUAUACUGAGGAGAAUAAUAAGUUUGAGUUUCAAAAUCGGAAAGUAGGUUUUGAUGCGUACACGUUGUCACCGUGACAGUGGUGAGCGGCGAAUAUAUAGUGACAGAGGAGAAUCUGAAGCGAAGGGCAUGGAGCUGUUACUGUGUUUGAAUGAUGAAUAAUUGAAAGAGGAGUGGGGAAUAAGGACAUUCGAACUUGAACUUUUGCUUGCAGUAAAUUUUUUUUUUUCUAAUUUGUUUUUGUUUUCCUACAAACCACUCCAAUUAUGAACCCGGACAUAACUGAAAUCAAUGGUAAUCUUAACCGAAAUAGAAACAGAACCUAACUAAAAUUAAACGGGAGCUAACCGAAGACCAGAAACCCUAAAGAGCAAACGAAGAAGCCGUCGUGUAGGGAUAGUCGCCAAAAGAAACCUUCAGUGGCAUAGGACCACCACCAAGAGGCGAGGUGACGCGAGACUCGAGCAUCCACCUUCAGAGACAGACCGGAGCAGACCAGAAAAGCUCUACCACAGACAUAGAGACGCACGACAAAACCACCGAAACAUCUGACAGAGAGAGAGAGCCGAGCAAAACUACAUCGGCGAGAAGGAGGCGGAAAAGAAAGAGAAAAAAACUUGACUUGGUAAACUAUUUUAGACCACCUCCAACGGGAGGUGUUAAAAAGGAGUUCUUAGAAAAAAACAAAAAAAAUAAAUGAAAAAAGAGAUAAUGGCAGAGAAUCGCUGCCUAAAACAAAGUUUUUGGAAUCUCUAAAAACCUCAUACGUGGUUCUUUAUUGUUGGCUAAUUCUUUUUCUGCUUCUCUCUCUUUCUCUUUGUCGUUGUUCUUCUUUUUUUUUGUCUGAGAAAUCUGUCUGAGAAAUCGAUGUUGGUAGAUUAAGUUGUGGGAGUAUCCAAAUCGUUCUGUUUGAAAAAAAGAAUUGUUUGUGUCGGUGGGAAGGAUUUCGCCGCAUUUACUUGAAGGAGUCCCGGAUGUGCUUACAAAGGAACUGUUUUUGGCAUCUGGUGAAGGUCCUGGCCUCACUAAUGUCAACCCAUUGAUAAGAUCAGUGCAAGAGCUGAGAGGUACAGACAUGCGAAAUCUGCAGAGACGAGGUCGAAUUGACCGUUAAUGGAGAACCAUUCGUGGUGUGUAACGAAUGUGCCUUCCCUGUUUGUAGACCUUGCUAUGAGUACGAAAGAAGAGAAGGCAAUCAAGCUUGUCCUUAGUGCAAGACCCAUUACAAAAGGCUUAAAGGAAGUCCAAGGGUUGAGAAUGAUGAAGAGGAAGAUAACAUUGAUGAUAUAGACAAUGAGUUUGAUUACAUGAACAAUGGUGGGAACAUGAACAAUGGUGGGAUUGGAUUUGAUCAGGUUUCUUCAAUUUCGUGGUCCUGUGAUUGCUCUAACAGUAGAUUGGUCUUGUGAGGAAUGCUGCCUGUCGACUGUUUUCGGUUUGGUGAUGAGGUACUUGAGGAGGGAACAGCUGAGUCUGCGUUUGCUAGCUUUCUUCUUAUCUCAACCUAUCAACGGCGUCUUUGCAGAUCAUUGCGUGAGGUUUAUUAAGGUAAUUAACUAAGUUAAUAGCAUGUUGAUAUAAAGUUAGGAUCUUUAUUGUUUAUGUUGGUAGUGUUGAUACUUCUUAUGUGGAAGAAGAACCAUUACUACCUUUUUAUACUCUCUCAGAAGAAUACUUUGUAGAAUCACACUUGAGAAAGUCUUUAAACUCAAACGAGAGUUUUUUGAAUUCUUCAGAGGUUCCUAGGUUAGCUUAUCUGAUCUCAGGUACUAAAGGAGAUAGCCACAGGAUGAUGAGGACUUUGCAAGCUGUGUACCAUCCAAGAAACCAAUAUGUUCUCCAUUUAGACCUCGAAGCUCCACCUAAGGAGAGGCUGGAGCUUGCAAUGUCUGUGAAGAGUGAUCCUACUUUCCGUGAAGUUACAAACGUCCGUGUUAUGUCACAGUCUAAUCUCGUUACCUAUAAAGGCCCUACAAUGAUCGCUUGUACGCUUCAAGCUGUGGCGGUUUUGCUUAAGGAGAGCUUGGAUUGGGAUUGGUUCAUCAACCUUAGUGCAUCAGAUUAUUAGACUAUCCUAUCCUCUCCUGACACAAGAUGAUUUGUUGUAUGUCUUCUCCAACUUGUCUCGGAAUGUUAACUUCAUUGAACAUACGAAGCGCACCGGAAUGUUAAAUUCAUGAUAUAAAUUUGUAUUUCUAUUUUUCAUAUGUUUUUAUGUCAUAUUUGUUUAAAUGUUAUGAAAUCCAAUAAUUUAUAAGUUUUGUAAUAUUUAAAUUUAAUAAUUCAAUUUUAAAAAAAAAUUAAGAACCUCAUAGGGGUUCUCCCA
Molecule: long non-coding RNA, 2627 nt
Organism: Brassica napus (rape)
Lineage: Eukaryota; Viridiplantae; Streptophyta; Magnoliopsida; Brassicales; Brassicaceae
Exons: 5
Source: RefSeq, a predicted model, not a curated record